ACUGUGCCACUGGAGAUCCCGUGCUCUGAAAAGUGCGAACAAGGAUGGUACUAUCAGAAUGGGACGUUUAUUGUCGACUCAACUCCGAAUGCCGGUGGAAGGAGGUUACCGGUUGUAGUGGAUGUAACGCCUCAGAAUCUGACAAUCCGUGUCUGCGAGAAUCUGCAGUGGCAACUUGACUGUGGCAAGUGUAACUGUAUUAUCAAUUAUACAGG
Molecule: long non-coding RNA, 215 nt
Organism: Sinocyclocheilus anshuiensis
Lineage: Eukaryota; Metazoa; Chordata; Actinopteri; Cypriniformes; Cyprinidae
Exons: 3
Source: RefSeq, a predicted model, not a curated record